This 107-nucleotide small nucleolar RNA is filed under the name Helianthus annuus (common sunflower). RNAcentral describes it as "Plant small nucleolar RNA R71". It matches the Rfam family "Plant small nucleolar RNA R71". Rfam says of the family: R71 is a member of the C/D box family of snoRNAs containing the C (UGAUGA) and D (CUGA) box motifs. Multiple nearly identical copies of this snoRNA have been identified in Arabidopsis, and it is thought to function as a 2'-O-ribose methylation guide for 18S ribosomal RNA. Lineage: Eukaryota; Viridiplantae; Streptophyta; Magnoliopsida; Asterales; Asteraceae. The record is from RNAcentral.
AGGCCGUGAUGGGGACACUUGCGUAAUAGCUCCUUGAAUCUUUCCCAAGUUUCAUAUAAGGAUUCCCCAUCCUCUUGUGAGUAUGUAUUAAUUUCAGCCAUUAAUUU